Molecule: ribosomal RNA, 461 nt
Filed under: uncultured bacterium
Lineage: Bacteria
Description: partial 16S ribosomal RNA
Rfam family: Bacterial small subunit ribosomal RNA
Source: RNAcentral
GACGAACGCUGGCGGCGUGCUUAACACAUGCAAGUCGAACGGUAAGGCCUUUCGGGGUACACGAGUGGCGAACGGGUGAGUAACACGUGGGUGAUCUGCCCUGCACUUCGGGAUAAGCCCGGGAAACUGGGUCUAAUACCGGAUAGGACUGCGCGGUGCAUGCCGUGUGGGGGAAAGAUUUAUCGGUGCAGGAUGGGCCCGCGGCCUAUCAGCUUGUUGGUGGGGUAAUGCCUACCAAGGCGACGACGGGUAGCCGGCCUGAGAGGGCGACCGGCCACACUGGGCCUGAGGCAGGGCCCAGUCUCCUACGUGAGGCAGCAGUGGGGAGUAUUGCACAAUGGGCGCAAGCCUGAUGCAGCGGCGCCGCGUGCGGAAUGACGGGUUUCGGGUGAUAAACCUCUUUCAGCGGAGACGUAGCGGUAGUGACGGUACCUGCAGAAGAAGCACCGGCCAACCACGUG